Urocitellus parryii (Arctic ground squirrel) is the source of this 154-nucleotide small nucleolar RNA. Lineage: Eukaryota; Metazoa; Chordata; Mammalia; Rodentia; Sciuridae. The record is from Ensembl.
GAACUGACUUCAAUUUAAAAAAGUUUGCUCAAGAUAAAUAUCGCUUGUCCCCUGUUCCUCUCAUAGUGUCCCAUGCCAGAACAUACUGUGGCCCUAAACCAUUGCCUGACCUCUGUGCCUGUAGGCUCCUGGCACUGAAGCAGGUUGCACAGUG